CAGCCGCCGCGGUAAUACGAAGGGUGCAAGCAUUACUCGGAAUUACUGGGCGUAAAGCGUGCGUAGGUGGUCGUUUAAGUCUGUUGUGAAAGCCCUGGGCUCAACCUGGGAACUGCAGUGGAAACUGGACGACUAGAGUGUGGUAGAGGGUAGCGGAAUUCCUGGUGUAGCAGUGAAAUGCGUAGAGAUCAGGAGGAACAUCCAUGGCGAAGGCAGCUACCUGGACCAACACUGACACUGAGGCACGAAAGCGUGGGGAGCAAACAGGAUUAGAUACCCCGGUAGUCCCUGUCUCUUAUAA
RNAcentral lists this ribosomal RNA (301 nucleotides) under uncultured bacterium. RNAcentral describes it as "partial 16S ribosomal RNA". It matches the Rfam family "Bacterial small subunit ribosomal RNA", at positions 509 to 809 of the family's 1533-position model. The record is from RNAcentral.